Molecule: ribosomal RNA, 439 nt
Filed under: uncultured bacterium
Lineage: Bacteria
Description: partial 16S ribosomal RNA
Rfam family: Bacterial small subunit ribosomal RNA
Source: RNAcentral
CUACGGAGCGCAGCAGUGAGGAAUAUUGCACAAUGGGGGGAACCCUGAUGCAGCAACGCCGCGUGGAGGAUGACGCAUUUCGGUGUGUAAACUCCUUUUAUAUGUCAAGAAAAUGACGGUAGCAUAUGAAUAAGCACCGGCUAACUCCGUGCCAGCAGCCGCGGUAAUACGGAGGGUGCAAGCGUUACUCGGAAUCACUGGGCGUAAAGGACGCGUAGGCGGGUUGGAAAGUCAGGUGUGAAAUCCUACAGCUUAACUGUAGAACUGCACUUGAAACUUCUAAUCUAGAGUAUGGGAGGGGGAGAUGGAAUUAGUGGUGUAGGGGUAAAAUCCGUAGAUAUCACUAGGAAUACCUAAAGCGAAGGCGAUCUCCUGGAACAUUACUGACGCUAAGGCGUGAAAGCGUGGGGAGCAAACAGGAUUAGAUACCCCAGUAGUC